GGGACACGUGGUAUCCUGUCUGAAUAUGGGGGGACCAUCCUCCAAGGCUAAAUACUCCUGACUGACCGAUAGUGAACCAGUACCGUGAGGGAAAGGCGAAAAGAACCCCGGCGAGGGGAGUGAAAAAGAACCUGAAACCGUGUACGUACAAGCAGUGGGAGCACGCUUAGGCGUGUGACUGCGUACCUUUUGUAUAAUGGGUCAGCGACUUAUAUUCUGUAGCAAGGUUAACCGAAUAGGGGAGCCGAAGGGAAACCGAGUCUUAACUGGGCGUUAAGUUGCAGGGUAUAGACCCGAAACCCGGUGAUCUAGCCAUGGGCAGGUUGAAGGUUGGGUAACACUAACUGGAGGACCGAACCGACUAAUGUUGAAAAAUUAGCGGAUGACUUGUGGCUGGGGGUGAAAGGCCAAUCAAACCGGGAGAUAGCUGGUUCUCCCCGAAAGCUAUUUAGGUAGCGCCUCGUGAAUUCAUCUCCGGGGGUAGAGCACUGUUUCGGCAAGGGGGUCAUCCCGACUUACCAACCCGAUGCAAACUGCGAAUACCGGAGAAUGUUAUCACGGGAGACACACGGCGGGUGCUAACGUCCGUCGUGAAGAGGGAAACAACCCAGACCGCCAGCUAAGGUCCCAAAGUCAUGGUUAAGUGGGAAACGAUGUGGGAAGGCCCAGACAGCCAGGAUGUUGGCUUAGAAGCAGCCAUCAUUUAAAGAAAGCGUAAUAGCUCACUGGUCGAGUCGGCCUGCGCGGAAGAUGUAACGGGGCUAAACCAUGCACCGAAGCUGCGGCAGCGACGCUUAUGCGUUGUUGGGUAGGGGAGCGUUCUGUAAGCCUGUGAAGGUGUGCUGUGAGGCAUGCUGGAGGUAUCAGAAGUGCGAAUGCUGACAUAAGUAACGAUAAAGCGGGUGAAAAGCCCGCUCGCCGGAAGACCAAGGGUUCCUGUCCAACGUUAAUCGGGGCAGGGUGAGUCGACCCCUAAGGCGAGGCCGAAAGGCGUAGUCGAUGGGAAACAGGUUAAUAUUCCUGUACUUGGUGUUACUGCGAAGGGGGGACGGAGAAGGCUAUGUUGGCCGGGCGACGGUUGUCCCGGUUUAAGCGUGUAGGCUGGUUUUCCAGGCAAAUCCGGAAAAUCAAGGCUGAGGCGUGAUGACGAGGCACUACGGU
RNAcentral lists this ribosomal RNA (1161 nucleotides) under Escherichia coli. RNAcentral describes it as "partial 23S ribosomal RNA". It matches the Rfam family "Bacterial large subunit ribosomal RNA", at positions 419 to 1583 of the family's 2925-position model. Lineage: Bacteria; Pseudomonadati; Pseudomonadota; Gammaproteobacteria; Enterobacterales; Enterobacteriaceae. The record is from RNAcentral.